Oryza barthii is the source of this 203-nucleotide non-coding RNA. The record is from Rfam. NCBI's taxonomy places the organism in Eukaryota, Viridiplantae, Streptophyta, Magnoliopsida, Poales, Poaceae.
AAAGACCGCAGUUUUGCACUAUUUAUGUCCAACGUUUAACGGUCCGUCUUAUUUGAAAAAAUUUUAUGAUUAGUAUUUUUAUUGUUAUUAGAUGAUAAAAUAUGAAUAGUACUUUAUCUGUGACUUUUUAAAUUUUUUUAUAAAACUUUCAAAUAAGACGAAUGGUCAAACAUUGGACACGGAAACCCACAACUGCACUUAAA